This is a long non-coding RNA of Amphimedon queenslandica, 119 nucleotides long. RefSeq lists it as uncharacterized. The transcript is spliced from 2 exons. NCBI's taxonomy places the organism in Eukaryota, Metazoa, Porifera, Demospongiae, Haplosclerida, Niphatidae. The record is from RefSeq and is a predicted model, not a curated record.
GGGUCCGCAACGAAGAAAAAUCUGGUACACUUUCCAAAAAAUCAAAAAAAUCCAAAAUCCACCAGUAAUCCAGAAAAUCCUUGCAAUAAUCCAAAAAAUCCAAGGAAAUCCAGUCACAA